This 490-nucleotide ribosomal RNA is filed under the name uncultured bacterium. RNAcentral describes it as "partial 16S ribosomal RNA". It matches the Rfam family "Bacterial small subunit ribosomal RNA", at positions 30 to 507 of the family's 1533-position model. The record is from RNAcentral.
AUUGAACGCUGGCGGCAGGCCUAACACAUGCAAGUCGAACGGUAACAGGAAGCAGCUUGCUGCUUUGCUGACGAGUGGCGGACGGGUGAGUAAUGUCUGGGAAACUGCCUGAUGGAGGGGGAUAACUACUGGAAACGGUAGCUAAUACCGCAUAACGUCGCAAGACCAAAGAGGGGGACCUUAGGGCCUCUUGCCAUCGGAUGUGCCCAGAUGGGAUUAGCUAGUAGGUGGGGUAACGGCUCACCUAGGCGACGAUCCCUAACUGGUCUGAGAGGAUGACCAGCCACACUGGAACUGAGACACGGUCCAGACUCCUACGGGAGGCAGCAGUGGGGAAUAUUGCACAAUGGGCGCAAGCCUGAUGCAGCCAUGCCGCGUGUAUGAAGAAGGCCUUCGGGUUGUAAAGUACUUUCAGCGGGGAGGAAGGGAGUAAAGUUAAUACCUUUGCUCAUUGACGUUACCCGCAGAAGAAGCACCGGCUAACUCCGUG